AAAACCUUCAUUUCUUUUCGACUGACGAAAGAAAGACAUGAACAUCUUGGAUGACAUGGGGAGUGAUAUGGAGCUUACAGCACCAUGAGAGGAUGGAGUGGAGAAAGCAUUUGAGAGAAAAUGUUUGAAGUACUCUAAACUGGCAACCGAAGUUGUGCAAAAUGGCUGCAAGGUUUUGUCACCACAUGCACAACCAGUCUACUGACGAAAAUAGGAGUUAGGGGUCGCUCUCUCCAACAAGCAAUCAAGUCCCUGUCGAAUGCAGCGGAAAGAAGCAGCAAUUGGCUGUGGAUUGAAUGGAAGGACAUCAACUGGGCGGUGAGAUAAAGACAGGUGGAUAUGGAGGUGUAUCUGAGAUGCCAGGUGUCCCCGUUGAAACAUCAAGUCCUAUUAGCUCUAUACUUUCUCUUACCUUAUUUGACCCAUUUAGUGUUUGUUAAUGUGACAGGCAGACAGUGUGUACCACUGUGUAGAUGGCAGACUCAGACAGAGCAAGGUACUCUGUGGAGACAGAUCAGUGGGAGGUCCUUCUGACUCAUCAAAACAGCAGACACUUAUUCAGUCCAAAAACUGUCAAGCUGCUAGUGUUUUCCUGCUUGCCCUGCAGAAGAAAACAGACUUUCCUGUAAUUUUCUGGUUUUCUCAGGCUGACAUAAUGUCAUGUUUAUCACAAUAAUUACACUGACAUCAUUUUAUUUUCAGGUGCAUUUGCUCACAUUGUUGCCCCAUGAUGACUGCUUAGAUAAAUUGGUAUGUGUGACUUCCACAGAACCUGGACUGUAAUGGUAGCAUGUGGGCAUUAGCUUAUGUGCUUAUACACUCACGCUUCGAAAUCGAAUACUAUAUAAUAUGCAAAAAACAGUACGUCAAAAGAGUAGUAUGUCCAAAUACAUAGUAGUCAAAAAACAGAGGCGAAAAGUUCCCGGAUGACCUAUUGCUUCCACCAAGAUUCUGAAGUGUGCAUGGACACUUUACUUUACUACUUAUGAAUGGAGGUGAAGCAACGCAAAUGAUGCUGGUUGGUCACAUGACAGUAACAACAUGGAUGUAGUAAGUCCGAAUUUCAUUCAUACUACCCAUAUUCAUACUGUAUUGAGUGUACUUUUUUAACGGUCAUAAAUUCAAAUUUAAAUGUAGUACCUACUCAGACAAUACAGGAUUUCAGACGCAGCGUCAGACUGCCUCCCAGUGAGUUAGUGUAGUACACAGCAAUAUUUGCCAAAAUAAGACGAGUCAUGCUCUUCAUUCUUUUUUUAAUUCCAAAUUAAAAGUUGUUUUAAAUAAG
Long non-coding RNA from Megalobrama amblycephala (Wuchang bream), 1285 nucleotides. RefSeq lists it as uncharacterized. The transcript has 2 exons. NCBI's taxonomy places the organism in Eukaryota, Metazoa, Chordata, Actinopteri, Cypriniformes, Xenocyprididae. The record is from RefSeq and is a predicted model, not a curated record.